Molecule: ribosomal RNA, 1483 nt
Filed under: Enterococcus mundtii
Lineage: Bacteria; Bacillati; Bacillota; Bacilli; Lactobacillales; Enterococcaceae
Description: bacterial SSU rRNA
Rfam family: Bacterial small subunit ribosomal RNA
Source: RNAcentral
GACGAACGCUGGCGGCGUGCCUAAUACAUGCAAGUCGAACGCUUCUUUUCCCACCGGAGCUUGCUCCACCGGGAAAAGAGGAGUGGCGAACGGGUGAGUAACACGUGGGUAACCUGCCCAUCAGAAGGGGAUAACACUUGGAAACAGGUGCUAAUACCGUAUAACAAUCGAAACCGCAUGGUUUCGUUUUGAAAGGCGCUUUACGGUGCCGCUGAUGGAUGGACCCGCGGUGCAUUAGCUAGUUGGUGAGGUAACGGCUCACCAAGGCCACGAUGCAUAGCCGACCUGAGAGGGUGAUCGGCCACAUUGGGACUGAGACACGGCCCAAACUCCUACGGGAGGCAGCAGUAGGGAAUCUUCGGCAAUGGACGAAAGUCUGACCGAGCAACGCCGCGUGAGUGAAGAAGGUUUUCGGAUCGUAAAACUCUGUUGUUAGAGAAGAACAAGGGUGAGAGUAACUGUUCACCCCUUGACGGUAUCUAACCAGAAAGCCACGGCUAACUACGUGCCAGCAGCCGCGGUAAUACGUAGGUGGCAAGCGUUGUCCGGAUUUAUUGGGCGUAAAGCGAGCGCAGGCGGUUUCUUAAGUCUGAUGUGAAAGCCCCCGGCUCAACCGGGGAGGGUCAUUGGAAACUGGGAGACUUGAGUGCAGAAGAGGAGAGUGGAAUUCCAUGUGUAGCGGUGAAAUGCGUAGAUAUAUGGAGGAACACCAGUGGCGAAGGCGGCUCUCUGGUCUGUAACUGACGCUGAGGCUCGAAAGCGUGGGGAGCAAACAGGAUUAGAUACCCUGGUAGUCCACGCCGUAAACGAUGAGUGCUAAGUGUUGGAGGGUUUCCGCCCUUCAGUGCUGCAGCUAACGCAUUAAGCACUCCGCCUGGGGAGUACGACCGCAAGGUUGAAACUCAAAGGAAUUGACGGGGGCCCGCACAAGCGGUGGAGCAUGUGGUUUAAUUCGAAGCAACGCGAAGAACCUUACCAGGUCUUGACAUCCUUUGACCACUCUAGAGAUAGAGCUUCCCCUUCGGGGGCAAAGUGACAGGUGGUGCAUGGUUGUCGUCAGCUCGUGUCGUGAGAUGUUGGGUUAAGUCCCGCAACGAGCGCAACCCUUAUUGUUAGUUGCCAUCAUUUAGUUGGGCACUCUAGCAAGACUGCCGGUGACAAACCGGAGGAAGGUGGGGAUGACGUCAAAUCAUCAUGCCCCUUAUGACCUGGGCUACACACGUGCUACAAUGGGAAGUACAACGAGUCGCGAAGUCGCGAGGCUAAGCUAAUCUCUUAAAGCUUCUCUCAGUUCGGAUUGUAGGCUGCAACUCGCCUACAUGAAGCCGGAAUCGCUAGUAAUCGCGGAUCAGCACGCCGCGGUGAAUACGUUCCCGGGCCUUGUACACACCGCCCGUCACACCACGAGAGUUUGUAACACCCGAAGUCGGUGAGGUAACCUUUUUGGAGCCAGCCGCCUAAGGUGGGAUAGAUGAUUGGGGUG